Nothobranchius furzeri (turquoise killifish) is the source of this 1046-nucleotide non-coding RNA. The record is from RefSeq and is a predicted model, not a curated record. Lineage: Eukaryota; Metazoa; Chordata; Actinopteri; Cyprinodontiformes; Nothobranchiidae.
UUUCAGCUGUUUGUGAGCCACACAAGCCUUCUCUAAUAUGGAGGAAAGCUGGCACAGUGCUCCUUGUGAGGUUUGUAGCACCAACAUCAUAAAACUUACAGCAAAACUGAAGACAGCACACUGAAGCUGACUAACAAACCUACUAAAUUUGAGAAAAUUAUUAGUUUACUAUAAAAGAUGUGGUCGGUGGAAAUUUUUGUUUCAAGAUUUCAUAAAUCAUGCAAUUAACAGUGCUCAGAUGUCAUUUCAGACCUCUGAAACGUCUCAUCGCCAUUCAAAAACUGCUGCACCUACUGGAAAAAUUCAAAUAGUGUGACCGGCAGAAGGCCUUGGUGAUCAUCUGUGUGAAUUUUUGUGUGCCUACCAUGAAUUGUCUAGAAGCAAUGAUGAGAACAUUUUAGCUGUCUGAAGCCGAAAAUCUCAGUUUCUUUAACAUGGUUUCAAUAAGACAGAGGCUGUGUCUCAAUUCAGGGUCUGCAUCCUACGUCGGCCGGAUUCGUCGGCCGGUUACGUCACUGCACCGCGACUAGGCCUGUCCCAAUUCGAAGACUCCUUCAAAUGCGGUCGACGAAUGCGGCCUUCUUUUCGUCUGAAUGAAGGAUGGGUCGGGUGUAUCCUUCAACAGGUAGCAUUUCCCAAGAUGCCUUGCGGGCCGGCCAGCAGAAAAACUUAAAAACAAUGGCGGACAGUGAAGCGGGAGCUGUCGGAGAGGAUUGCGCAUAUAAAUGAACAAAAGAGAAAACCAGGGAAUUUCUUAAGCUUAGGGCGGAGAUGGACCACAUGAUCACCGGAGCAAAGUAUUCGGCGGCUGUGGCAUGGAGACUAUUCUGGAGAAAAUGGGCAUCCAGGGGAAGGUGCCAGCGAUGACCAGCUUCUGGAUCUGAUCAGGGAGGACAUGAAGCUGCAGAUGGAGGCAGAGCAGCAGAGGGCACAGGAGAGAAGGAAUAACUUUGACAGCUUUUUACUUUGCUAGAAAAAAAUGGUUAAUAAAGAUUAAACAUGUACAUAUAAAAGAAAUAUCUAAAUAAAAUCAGUUCUGCAUUAAA